GCAGACAGCGAACACGUGUUUAACACCGGCGGCGUGCGGCGGGGGCGAUCCCCGUCGUGCGCUCGUCUCCCCCGCCGGCGUGCUCCCUCGGGUCACGCCGUGCGGGCUAACGAACCCCGGCGCGGAACGCGCCAAGGAAUACCUAACGAAGCGUCCUCCCCCCGCACCCCGUUCGCGGACCGUGUGGGGGCGACCGGAUGUCUUACAAAUGUCACAACGACUCUCGGCAACGGAUAUCUCGGCUCUCGCAUCGAUGAAGAACGUAGCGAAAUGCGAUACUUGGUGUGAAUUGCAGAAUCCCGUGAACCAUCGAGUCUUUGAACGCAAGUUGCGCCCGAAGCCAUUUGGCCGAGGGCACGUCUGCCUGGGCGUCACGCAUCGCGUCGCCCCCCGCCCUGCGCUCGGCGCACGGGCGGGGAGCGGAAACUGGCCUCCCGUUCGCCCGGUGUGCGGCUGGCCCAAAUGCGAUCCCUCGGCGACUCGCGUCACGACAAGUGGUGGUUGAACACUCAAUCUCUUGCGUCGUCGUGCCGCUGUGUCGUUCUUACGGGUAUCGAACAACGACCCUGCGGUGGCGGUGCCUCACGGCUCCACACCUUCGACCGCG
RNAcentral lists this ribosomal RNA (607 nucleotides) under Salvia coccinea. Its description in RNAcentral is "eukaryotic LSU rRNA". The stretch from base 219 to 374 matches the Rfam family "5.8S ribosomal RNA". The record is from RNAcentral. Lineage: Eukaryota; Viridiplantae; Streptophyta; Magnoliopsida; Lamiales; Lamiaceae.